CAGGGAUAGAGAAAACAAACAUUGGUUUUUAUACUGGUUCGGCCAAUAAUGCCUACAUCCAGUGUCCUUCCGACCCAGGAAGCAAAUGCACUAUAAUGGUUGAAGUUUUUACAAGAAGGAAUUUAUAGAAGUACCACGCAAAAAUAUAAAUCUCCUCUGUAACGCAAAACCAAAAUAUAGCUACACAACAAAACCAAAAUUGCAGCAAGAAUCCCCUCUUAUGCAAUCUGAACCCACGUCGAACAAUCCUCAACGUGUAUCCAAC
RNAcentral lists this long non-coding RNA (265 nucleotides) under Vigna radiata. RNAcentral's name for it is "long non-coding RNA (VRAD_LNC012863)". Lineage: Eukaryota; Viridiplantae; Streptophyta; Magnoliopsida; Fabales; Fabaceae. The record is from RNAcentral.